UACGAAGGGGGCUAGCGUUGUUCGGAAUCACUGGGCGUAAAGCGCACGUAGGCGGAUCUUUAAGUCAGAGGUGAAAUCCCAAGGCUCAACCUUGGAACUGCCUUUGAUACUGGGGAUCUUGAGUCCGGGAGAGGUGAGUGGAACUGCGAGUGUAGAGGUGAAAUUCGUAGAUAUUCGCAAGAACACCAGUGGCGAAGGCGGCUCACUGGCCCGGUACUGACGCUGAGGUGCGAAAGCGUGGGGAGCAGACAGG
This 253-nucleotide ribosomal RNA is filed under the name uncultured bacterium. Its description in RNAcentral is "partial 16S ribosomal RNA". It matches the Rfam family "Bacterial small subunit ribosomal RNA", at positions 524 to 776 of the family's 1533-position model. The record is from RNAcentral.